UAUUUGCUAUUUUUAGAGUAUAAGUUUUGCGUUUUAAAGAAAGAAAAAUUACAAAAAUAUGCUUUAUAGGUUUUAAUUUUGCUUAGCCAGUCAUUUAUUUUAACCUUAUUUUUUUUUAGUUAUCUAGAAAUAGUUAUUAAAUAUUUUUUUUACAUUUAAAAAAAAAAGCAAAUAGGAUUAUACCACCUCACCAUAAAAUGACAAAACUUGAUAACAAACCUUAUCACAAAAAGAGGGGGGUUCACGUUUUUUUUCACUUUGGGUGGGGCCCGCACAAUUAAAAAAAAAAAGAAAAAAAAAAAGAGAAAAUGGAAAACACACAUACUCAACCGCAAUUCUACGCCAUAAAAAAUCAGCCGCAGCUUGCAAAAGAAAAAUAAAACUUAGCAACUAAGAUCAAAUAGACUUAAAAGGAACCAAAAGAAAAGUAGAUAUAGCUUUUUUUUUUUAUUGACAUUUUUCUUACCUCCUCCGUCCUUAUUUUUUUUUUAUUUUGAAGCUAUCAUGAUCCUUUCACAGUCUUUCACCAUGUAAAAAGUGAAUCACCCCACCAUUUUGUUUCUAGUUUAGCUACUAAUCUCACUGUGAAACAGCCAAAAAAAAAAACAGCCAUGAAAACACCACCCGUUUCAGCUCCAUCAAUGAAAUAACAACUUAAAAAAAUUCAGCUUUUAAACACCAUUAUGGUUCAGCCUUUAAACACCAUUUUCAGCCAUAUUUUCAUCUCUGUUUGGGUUUAUUUUUGGUCGAGGUUGAGGUCCAUCGAUUAAAGCUCUCGUCGGCGUCGAGUUUUCCAGCCGCAGUCCAUUUUUGUACGUGAGCUUGGGGUUUCCUUUGUCUUGGUGUAUUGAUGGAAAUUUUCAGCAAUUAAAGUAUUCGAUUUCUCUAGUGAUCACAACAACAGAUUUUGCCUCUGUGAUUUAUAGGGGCAUCGCCGAAAAAAGAGAUUCGUGUCAAAAUCUUGUGCUAAGAUGUUGAUUAGAAGUUGAAUAGCAGCGGCAUUACAUUUAGAUUAAGCAAGUUGUUAAACUUUAUUGGGAUUCUGAUAUGAUUCUUUAAGUCUAAGUGCCUCAUUUUCCAUUGUUUUUUAAUUUUUAAUUCUUUUAUAUUCUUGUGAACUAUAGCAUUAUGUAAAUUAAUUUCUCCUUUGUAAAAUGAAAUGCAAGAUUUGAACGCUUUUUUUGCAGAGCAUAAUAGCAUAUGAUUUGUUUUA
Long non-coding RNA from Lycium barbarum (goji berry), 1213 nucleotides. RefSeq lists it as uncharacterized. The transcript is spliced from 2 exons. The record is from RefSeq and is a predicted model, not a curated record. NCBI's taxonomy places the organism in Eukaryota, Viridiplantae, Streptophyta, Magnoliopsida, Solanales, Solanaceae.